This 312-nucleotide unclassified non-coding RNA is filed under the name uncultured fungus. RNAcentral's name for it is "partial contains 5.8S ribosomal RNA and internal transcribed spacer 2". The stretch from base 1 to 133 matches the Rfam family "5.8S ribosomal RNA", at positions 22 to 154 of the family's 154-position model. Lineage: Eukaryota; Fungi. The record is from RNAcentral.
UGGUUCUGGCAUCGAUGAAGAACGCAGCGAAAUGCGAUAAGUAAUGUGAAUUGCAGAAUUCAGUGAAUCAUCGAAUCUUUGAACGCACAUUGCGCCCUUUGGCAUUCCGAAGGGCAUGCCCGUCCGAGCGUCAUUAUCACCCCUCGAGCCCGGCUCGGUAUUGGGCGCCGCGUCCACCGCGCGCCUCAAAGUCGCCGGCCGUGUGGUCCGUCCCCGAGCGUUGUGGCAUCUGUCCGCUCCGGGUGGUCGGGCGACGCGCGCCGUUAAACCCUCCAUUAGGUUGACCUCGGAUCGGGUAGGGAUACCCGCUGA